This 75-nucleotide transfer RNA is filed under the name Uliginosibacterium sp. RNAcentral's name for it is "tRNA-OTHER". It matches the Rfam family "tRNA". From Rfam's summary of the family: Transfer RNA (tRNA) molecules are approximately 80 nucleotides in length. Their secondary structure includes four short double-helical elements and three loops (D, anti-codon, and T loops). Lineage: Bacteria; Pseudomonadati; Pseudomonadota; Betaproteobacteria; Rhodocyclales; Zoogloeaceae. The record is from RNAcentral.
CCGCCGUAGUUCAAUGGAUAGAACGGCCGCGCCUCUAAGCGGCAGAUAGCAGGUUCGACUCCUGUCGGUGUACCA